GACGAACGCUGGCGGCGUGCUUAACACAUGCAAGUCGAACGGAAAGGCCCUGCUUUUGUGGGGUGCUCGGGUGGCGACCGGGUGAGUUACACGUGAGUAACCUGCCACUGACUUUGGGAUAACCUCAGGAAACUGGGGCUAAUACCAGCUAGGAGCUCCUGCCGCAUGGUGGGGGUUGGAAAGUUUCGGCGGUUGGGGAUGGACUGGCGGCUUAUCAGCUUGUUGGUGGGGUAGUGGCUUACCAAGGCUUUGACGGGUAGCCGGGCUGCGAGGGUGACCGGCCCACUUGGGAUGGGGAUACGACCCGGACUCGUACGGUAGGGGAGGGUGGGGAGGAGUGCACAAGAGGCGGGAGCCUGGUGCGACAACGCCGCGUGGGGGAAGACAGCCUUCGGGUUGGGAAGCGCUGUCGCCUGUGACGGAGCGUUAGUGACGGUAAUGGGUAAAGAAGCACCGGCUAACUACGUG
RNAcentral lists this ribosomal RNA (468 nucleotides) under uncultured bacterium. Its description in RNAcentral is "partial 16S ribosomal RNA". It matches the Rfam family "Bacterial small subunit ribosomal RNA", at positions 28 to 507 of the family's 1533-position model. The record is from RNAcentral.